Molecule: ribosomal RNA, 443 nt
Filed under: uncultured bacterium
Lineage: Bacteria
Description: partial 16S ribosomal RNA
Rfam family: Bacterial small subunit ribosomal RNA
Source: RNAcentral
CCUACGGGGUGCAGCAGUGGGGGAUAUUGGACAAUGGGGGAAACCCUGAUCCAGCGACGCCGCGUGAGUGAAGAAGUAUUUCGGUAUGUAAAGCUCUAUCAGCAGGGAAGAAAGAAAUGACGGUACCUGAGUAAGAAGCCCCGGCUAACUACGUGCCAGCAGCCGCGGUAAUACGUAGGGGGCAAGCGUUAUCCGGAAUUACUGGGUGUAAAGGGAGCGUAGACGGUAAUGCAAGUCUGGAGUGAAAGGCGGGGGCCCACCCCCCGGACUGCUCUGGAAACUGUGUAACUGGAGUGCAGGAGAGGCAGGCGGAAUUCCUAGUGUAGCGGUGAAAUGCGGAGAUAUUAGGAGGAACACCAGUGGCGAAGGCGGCCUGCUGGACUGUAACUGACGUUGAGGCUCGAAAGCGUGGGGAGCAAACAGGAGUAGAUACCCGAGUAGUC